UGCAGUCGAACGGCAGCAUGAUCUAGCUUGCUAGAUUGAUGGCGAGUGGCGAACGGGUGAGUAAUACAUCGGAACGUGCCCUGUAGUGGGGGAUAACUAGUCGAAAGAUUAGCUAAUACCGCAUACGACCUGAGGGUGAAAGUGGGGGACCGCAAGGCCUCAUGCUAUAGGAGCGGCCGAUGUCUGAUUAGCUAGUUGGUGAGGUAAAGGCUCACCAAGGCGACGAUCAGUAGCUGGUCUGAGAGGACGAUCAGCCACACUGGGACUGAGACACGGCCCAGACUCCUACGGGAGGCAGCAGUGGGGAAUUUUGGACAAUGGGGGCAACCCUGAUCCAGCAAUGCCGCGUGUGUGAAGAAGGCCUUCGGGUUGUAAAGCACUUUUGUCCGGAAAGAAAUCGCACUUACUAAUAUUAGGUGUGGAUGACGGUACCGGAAGAAUAAGGACCGGCUAACUACGUGCCAGCAGCCGCGGUAAUACGUAGGGUCCAAGCGUUAAUCGGAAUUACUGGGCGUAAAGCGUGCGCAGGCGGUUGUGCAAGACCGAUGUGAAAUCCCCGGGCUUAACCUGGGAAUUGCAUUGGUGACUGCACGGCUAGAGUGUGUCAGAGGGGGGUAGAAUUCCACGUGUAGCAGUGAAAUGCGUAGAGAUGUGGAGGAAUACCGAUGGCGAAGGCAGCCCCCUGGGAUAACACUGACGCUCAUGCACGAAAGCGUGGGGAGCAAACAGGAUUAGAUACCCUGGUAGUCCACGCCCUAAACGAUGUCAACUAGUUGUUGGGGGAUUCAUUUCCUUAGUAACGUAGCUAACGCGUGAAGUUGACCGCCUGGGGAGUACGGUCGCAAGAUUAAAACUCAAAGGAAUUGACGGGGACCCGCACAAGCGGUGGAGGAAGUGGGGAUUAAUUUCGAUGCAACGCGAAAAACCUUACCUACCCUUGACAUGCCACUAACGAAGCAGAGAUGCAUUAGGUGCUCGAAAGAAGAAAGUGGACACAGGUGCUGCAUGGCUGUCGUCAGCUCGG
Molecule: ribosomal RNA, 1024 nt
Filed under: bacterium
Lineage: Bacteria
Description: bacterial SSU rRNA
Rfam family: Bacterial small subunit ribosomal RNA
Source: RNAcentral